Molecule: non-coding RNA, 99 nt
Filed under: human gut metagenome
Description: TPP riboswitch (THI element)
Rfam family: TPP riboswitch aptamer (THI element)
About the family: Vitamin B(1) in its active form thiamin pyrophosphate (TPP) is an essential coenzyme that is synthesised by coupling of pyrimidine and thiazole moieties in bacteria. The previously detected thiamin-regulatory element, thi box was extended, resulting in a new, highly conserved RNA secondary structure, the THI element, which is widely distributed in eubacteria and also occurs in some archaea. Analysis of operon structures identified a large number of new candidate thiamin-regulated genes, mostly transporters, in various prokaryotic organisms.
Source: RNAcentral
UACAAGGGGUGCUGGUGCAAGCCGGCUGAGAUACAGUGUACCGCCGCUGUGAUCCCUCGAACCUGAUCCGGAUAAUGCCGGCGUAGGAAUGUGGUCAUA